UACGAAGGUGGCAAGCGUUACUCGGAAUUACUGGGCGUAAAGGGCAUGUAGGUGGUUUGGUAAGUCUGUUGUGUAAGCUCCCGGCUUAACUGGGAGAGGUCAACAGAAACUACCAGGCUUGAGUAUAGGAGAGGGUACUGGAAUUCCCGGUGUAGCGGUGAAAUGCGCAGAGAUCGGGAGGAACACCAAUGGCGAAAGCAGGUACCUGGACUAUUACUGACACUAAGCUGCGAAAGCUAGGGGAGCAAACAGG
RNAcentral lists this ribosomal RNA (253 nucleotides) under uncultured bacterium. Its description in RNAcentral is "partial 16S ribosomal RNA". It matches the Rfam family "Bacterial small subunit ribosomal RNA", at positions 524 to 776 of the family's 1533-position model. The record is from RNAcentral.